Molecule: ribosomal RNA, 437 nt
Filed under: uncultured bacterium
Lineage: Bacteria
Description: bacterial SSU rRNA
Rfam family: Bacterial small subunit ribosomal RNA
Source: RNAcentral
AUGGGAACGCGAAGAACCUUACCUAGACUUGACAUCUCCUGAAUAGUGUAGAGAUACAUGAAGCCCUUCGGGGCAGGAAGACAGGUGGUGCAUGGUUGUCGUCAGCUCGUGUCGUGAGAUGUUGGGUUAAGUCCCGCAACGAGCGCAACCCUUAUUACUAGUUGCUAACAUUAAGUUGAGCACUCUAGUGAGACUGCCCGGGGUUAACCGGGAGGAGGGUGGGGAUGACGUCAAAUCAUCAUGCCCCUUAUGUCUAGGGCUACACACGUGCUACAAUGGUGGGAACAAAGAGAUGCAAUACCGCAAGGUGGAGCUAAACUCAAAACCCCAUCCCAGUUCGGAUUGUAGGCUGAAACUCGCCUACAUGAAGCUGGAGUUGCUAGUAAUCGCGAAUCAGAAUGUCGCGGUGAAUACGUUCCCGGGUCUUGUACACACCG